AACGAACGCUGGCGGCAUGCCUAACACAUGCAAGUCGAACGAGACCUUCGGGUCUAGUGGCGCACGGUUGCGUAACGCGUGGGAACCUGCCCUUAGGUUCGGAAUAACUCCCCGAAAGGGGUGCUAAUACCGGAUAAUGUCUUCGGACCAAAGAUUUAUCGCCUUUGGAUGGGCCCGCGUUGGAUUAGCUAGUUGGUAGGGUAAAAGCCUACCAAGGCGACGAUCCAUAGCUGGUCUGAGAGGAUGAUCAGCCACACUGGGACUGAGACACGGCCCAGACUCCUACGGGAGGCAGCAGUGGGGAAUAUUGGACAAUGGGCGAAAGCCUGAUCCAGCAAUGCCGCGUGAGUGAUGAAGGCCUUAGGGUUGUAAAGCUCUUUUACCCGGGAUGAUAAUGACAGUACCGGGAGAAUAAGCGCCGGCUAACUCCGUG
Molecule: ribosomal RNA, 433 nt
Filed under: uncultured bacterium
Lineage: Bacteria
Description: partial 16S ribosomal RNA
Rfam family: Bacterial small subunit ribosomal RNA
Source: RNAcentral